Molecule: ribosomal RNA, 500 nt
Filed under: uncultured bacterium
Lineage: Bacteria
Description: partial 16S ribosomal RNA
Rfam family: Bacterial small subunit ribosomal RNA
Source: RNAcentral
GACGAACGCUGGCGGCGUGCUUAACACAUGCAAGUCGAACGGGUCUGCCCUGUUUUUUGCGGGGUGGGUCAGUGGCGAACGGGUGAGUAACACGUGAGUAACCUGCCCCUCACUUCUGGAUAACCGCUUGAAAGGGUGGCUAAUACGGGGUGUUCUGGCUGUGCCGCAUGGUGUGGCUGGGAAAGAUUCACUUUUGUGGUGUUUUGGUGGGGGAUGGGCUCGCGGCCUAUCAGCUUGUUGGUGGGGUGAUGGCCUGCCAAGGCUUUGACGGGUAGCCGGCCUGGGAGGGUGGGCGGUCACACUGGGACUGAGAUACGGCCCAGACUCCUGCGGGAGGCAGCAGUGGGGGGUAUUGCACAAUGGGCGGAAGCCUGAUGCAGCGACGUCGCGUGAGGGAUGGAGGCCUUCGGGUUGUGAACCUCUUUCGCCGUUGAAGAAGGUCCUGCUCUUUGUGGUGGGGUUGACGGUAGCCGGGUUAUGAAGCGCCGGCUAACUACGUG